GAUGAAGAACGUAGCGAAAUGCGAUAAGUAAUGUGAAUUGCAGAAUUCAGUGAAUCAUCGAAUCUUUGAACGCACCUUGCGCCCUUUGGCUAUUCCGAAGGGCAUGCCUGUUUGAGUAUCAUGAACACCUCAACUCUUCACGGCUUGCCGUGAUGAGUUUGGACUUUGGGGGUCUUGCUGGCCUACGAGCCAGCUCCUCUCAAAUGUAUUAGCUUGCCGGUGUUUGGUGGCAUCACAGGUGUGAUAACUAUCUACGCUUGUGGUUUUCCACUAGGAAACCUUCAGCAAUGGAGGUUCACCGGAGCUCACAAAUGUCUCUCCUUGCCAAGGACAGAUUUUGACCAUUUGAUCUCAAAUCAGGUAGGACUACCCGCUGAACUUAAGCAUAUCAAUAAGCGGAGGA
RNAcentral lists this unclassified non-coding RNA (403 nucleotides) under soil metagenome. Its description in RNAcentral is "partial contains 5.8S ribosomal RNA, internal transcribed spacer 2, and large subunit ribosomal RNA". The stretch from base 1 to 121 matches the Rfam family "5.8S ribosomal RNA", at positions 35 to 154 of the family's 154-position model. The record is from RNAcentral.